Culex quinquefasciatus (southern house mosquito) is the source of this 359-nucleotide long non-coding RNA. RefSeq lists it as uncharacterized. The record is from RefSeq and is a predicted model, not a curated record. The transcript is spliced from 3 exons. Lineage: Eukaryota; Metazoa; Arthropoda; Insecta; Diptera; Culicidae.
CAAACAUGUUUGUUGCCUUUUAUUUGAUUUUUCUCAACGUGUACUGAAAAUUUUGAGUGUAUAUUCUUCACCCUCACUGAAUUAUAAAGAUGGCCGAAGUGAAAAAGGACGCGAAGUGUUUUCUUUGUACGGCUUUAUAAAAAUAAUGCCGAAGAAUGUGGCAAGGUCGAUUACUGGUCCAGUUCCAGCGAAGCUUCCUGGUUUCCUGCUGUUAGCAGAUGACGUGACACCAUGGAGUCAGUGGAGGAUUUUCUUGGCUGCAGUUGCUGUACAGCAGUGUUAUUAGUGGAAUAUCGAGUGAUUAUUUUCGUUAAAUUUUAAUGUAAAAUGCUUACUGUGCAAAAAAUAAAUAAAUAGAA